CGUCUCGAUGCGGUUUGUUUUGUCUGAUUGGAUUUAAUGGUGUACGGUGUCAAAAAGUGGAUAUAAUCUAUAGAUAAAUGUGUGUAGCAAACAAAAACAAAUGUCAAUUAGAAUUUGACCAAGGCUUAACGCCGCCCAAGAAAGCUAAUACAAAAAAUAUUUUAUUUUCCCUUAGUACAAGUGAUAUAGCUAAAAAAUUGUUUUGAAAAAAUUGGGCAAUAAGUUGAAUUGUGUAAUUUUAGAAACGUCUGGUGCACAACAUAUUCGAGUGUAGCGUAAAAAGAGCGGACACAGACGAAGUUGCAGAGCAAGAGCGUACACCUAGUGGGAGCAGCGCACGAUACUAGAGAUCCAUUUUCAAAUACUUAUAUCAACUACGCCCCUUGCCGCACGCAGCUACUAAAUAUACGAUGUAGCCAUCGGUGGCAUUAAGAAACGACUGUCAAAUCCACUAAAGGAAAUAUAACUACACAUCUAAGUUGCAGGAAGUCACGUUUCGUUCAACAAUUACACAAAAUACAAAAUGCACGUGUAAAUAUACAUAGUACAUAUGUAAAUACUUUAAAAGCCGUCACGCUGUCGCCAAACUCCCAAUUAAGGAAAACAGUACGGUUUGUAUUUUGGUGAACAAAUUUUAACGCAAAGGUACACCAAACAACUGCCAUCGAGAGAGUAAAAUAGUGAAGUGUAAAAAGUGAAACGUUAAGUCUGUAAAUUAUAUGUAUGCAUGUAUGUACAUAUGUACAUGACACAACAUAUAAAUCUUGGUUGAGCUGCUUUCCUUAAAAGCGUCCGGCGUAGUUAUAGCACACCCAUCUGUACAUACCAAACUACUGAAACGAACGAAAGUGAAAAUCUACCAAAUUCAUGCUGCACAUUCAACGGAAGCAGUAAAUCUUUCUACACAAGGUG
This is a long non-coding RNA of Bactrocera latifrons, 912 nucleotides long. RefSeq lists it as uncharacterized. The transcript is spliced from 3 exons. The record is from RefSeq and is a predicted model, not a curated record. Lineage: Eukaryota; Metazoa; Arthropoda; Insecta; Diptera; Tephritidae.